AUGGGACUCUCAGCGACCUUUGAGCAACCAAGUGAGUGGUCUAUUACUGGCGGGACAGGUGAUCUUGCGAUGGCGCGUGGUGUAGUCAAGGUGAAAUUCCAUGAGGUGGUAAAGGAUGGAGACACAUGGGAGCUUAGCUUCCAUGGAUUUUGCAACAUGCAGAGCUUGCCCACUCUCACAAAGGCUGGCCCAUGGGGUGGACAUGGUGGUUCAGGUACGGACUCAGAACAGCCAUGGCGCAUAGAAAGUAUGACGAUCGUCCAUGAGGGGACAAUUGCUAAGUUUUCAUGCACUUACGUUGACCUGUCCGGCAAGAGGCGCACCACGGGUUCUUGGGGUGGUGGUAAUGGUAUCCCCACAAAGGUCCAGCUGGGGCCUCGGGAGAUUUUGAAAGCAGUAUCCGGAACACAUAUCAGCCUUAACAGUGGGCAGACUGUCAUUGAGUCACUGAAGUUUGUCACGAACGAAGGAAUGUACGGACCAUUUGGACGUACAACCGGUACUCCUUUCAAUGCUCAUGUGCCAGAAGACCAAAGCAUCGCCGGCUUCUUUGGGCGUGCUGAUGAUACGCAACUCAUCGCGUUUGGUAUUUACAUGGUUUGA
Molecule: ribosomal RNA, 603 nt
Filed under: Triticum aestivum (bread wheat)
Lineage: Eukaryota; Viridiplantae; Streptophyta; Magnoliopsida; Poales; Poaceae
Description: partial small subunit ribosomal RNA
Source: RNAcentral